CUAAUAGCGUAUAUUAAAGUUGUUGCAGUUAAAAAGCUCGUAGUUGAAUUUCGGGAUUGGCGCAUCGGUCGUGCCUCACGGGGUAUGAACUGGUGCAGUCAAUUUCUCACCUUCUGGAGAACCGCGAUGUCCUUAAUUGGAUGCCGCGGGGAACCAGGACCUUUACUUUGAAAAAAUUAGAGUGUUUAAAGCAGGCAUUUUUGCUUGAAUACAUUAGCAUGGAAUAAUAAAAUAGGACGGCAUGGUUCUAUUUUGUUGGUUUCUAGGACCACCGUAAUGAUUAAUAGGGAUAGUUGGGGGCAUUAGUAUUCAAUUGUCAGAGGUGAAAUUCUUGGAUUUAUUGAAGACUAACUACUGCGAAAGCAUUUGCCAAGGAUGUUUUCAUUAAUCAAGAACGAAAGUUAGGGGAUCGAAGACGAUCAGAUACCGUCGUAGUCUUAACCAUAAACUAUGCCGACUAGGAAUCAGACGAUGUUAAUUUUUUAAUGACUCGUUUGGCACCUUACG
Molecule: unclassified non-coding RNA, 507 nt
Filed under: uncultured Entrophospora
Lineage: Eukaryota; Fungi; Glomeromycota; Glomeromycetes; Entrophosporales; Entrophosporaceae
Description: SSU rRNA
Rfam family: Eukaryotic small subunit ribosomal RNA
Source: RNAcentral